RNAcentral lists this ribosomal RNA (896 nucleotides) under human gut metagenome. RNAcentral describes it as "bacterial SSU rRNA". It matches the Rfam family "Bacterial small subunit ribosomal RNA", at positions 627 to 1520 of the family's 1533-position model. The record is from RNAcentral.
CGGUUACGGGCGGCUGAGUNNCCGUAGGGGAGACUGNAAUUCCCGUGUAACGUGGAAUGUGUAGAUAUCGGGAGACANNCCAUGNNCGAAGGCAGUCUUCUGGCCCGUUACUGACGCUGAGGAGCGAAGCGUGGGGGAGCGANCAGGAUUAGAUANCCUGGUAGUCCACGCCGUAAACGGUGGAUGCUGGAUGUGGGCCCCGUUCCACGGGUUCCGUGUCGGAGCUACGCGUNNAAGCAUNCCGCCUGGGGAGUACGGCCGCAAGGCUAAAACUCAAGAAAAUUGACGGGGGCCCGCACAAGCGGCGGAGCAUGCGGAUUAAUUCGAUGCACGCGAAAGACCCUUACCUGGGCUUGACAUGUUCCCGACCGCUCCAGAGAUGGGGCUUCCCUUCGGGGCGGGUUCACAGGUGGUGCAUGGUCGUCGUCAGCUCGUGUCGUGAGAUGUUGGGUUAAGUCCCGCAACGAGCGCAACCCUCGCCCCGUGUUGCCAGCGGAUUAUGCCGGGAACUCACGGGGGACCGCCGGGGUUAACUCGGAGGAAGGUGGGGAUGACGUCAGAUCAUCAUGCCCCUUACGUCCAGGGCUUCACGCAUGCUACAAUGGCCGGUACAACGGGAUGCGACGCGGCGACGCGGAGCGGAUCCCUGAAAACCGGUCUCAGUUCGGAUCGCAGUCUGCAACUCGACUGCGUGAAGGCGGAGUCGCUAGUAAUCGCGAAUCAGCAACGUCGCGGUGAAUGCGUUCCCGGGCCUUGUACACACCGCCCGUCAAGUCAUGAAAGUGGGCAGCACCCGAAGCCGGUGGCCUAACCCCUUGUGGGAUGGAGCCGUCUAAGGUGAGGCUCGUGAUUGGGACUAAGUCGUAACAAGGUAGCCGUACCGGAAGGUGCGGCUG